This 473-nucleotide ribosomal RNA is filed under the name Ichneumon promissorius. RNAcentral's name for it is "eukaryotic LSU rRNA". Lineage: Eukaryota; Metazoa; Arthropoda; Insecta; Hymenoptera; Ichneumonidae. The record is from RNAcentral.
AAACCGUUCAGGGGUAAACCUGAGAAACCCGAAAGAUCGAAUGGGGAGAUUCAUCGUCAGCGAUUCGAGUACGUGUGCGGUUCGCGAUGUCCGAGACUUCGGUCUCGCGGCACGCGUCCGCAUGUUUUUUAUUGCUUGAAUCGUCGGCGUGCACUUCUCCCCUAGUAGGACGUCGCGACCCGUUGGGUGUCGGUCUACGGCACGGUAGGUAGCCUGUCACGUGUGCGCUUCACGGCGUUACGCGGGGCAGACCUCCGUUCGCCCGACCGGCUGCUCGGCGGUACUCGCAAGGUAUCUGGCCGCAGACAUACGAACUGCGUCCGGCCCGUCGCAAGCGAGGCAAGUGUCUCCCGGCUGUCACGGAUCUAAUGCCGUCACCGGGCCUUGCCAGCUGUUGGCUGACGGUGUCCUAGGACUGGCUAACAAAAUUAUGAUACCGGUCGGCGACGCUACUGCUUUGGGUACUUUCAGGA